Molecule: RNA transcript, 2073 nt
Organism: Nelumbo nucifera (sacred lotus)
Lineage: Eukaryota; Viridiplantae; Streptophyta; Magnoliopsida; Proteales; Nelumbonaceae
Gene name: agamous-like MADS-box protein AGL65
Source: RefSeq, a predicted model, not a curated record
UGCAAUAAUUCUUUUUUUUUUCCUUUAAUGAUUUUAUCCAUGUUGUUCUUUUUUUUUUGAAAAAAAAUAUAAUUUUUUUAUUUCUUCAUCUGGGUAUUUGUUCGUUUGGUGUUCUUUAUCUGUUACAUACGAUUUCAUGCUUUUUUAUUACACGGAUUAGGUUUUUCAGAAGGUUAGGAAUCUGCAACUGGGGAUUAUUUGAAUUUUAUUUGGGUAUUAUCUCCUCUAUUUCUAAUUCCAUAUGGGUUUUGUAAUUUGAAUUUUAGUUUUAUAUGGGUUUUCACCUAUUUUAAUCAGCUUUGGUAAACUUGAUAUGGCUUUUGAUUAGUUGUUCGUUUCUGUUUUUAGCAGUAGAGUGCUGUCAACAGUUCCUGGUAUUUUUUUUUUCCGAGUUUCGAUGUCUCAAACGUAAAUUGCUGCUGUGUUGCCUUUCCGCUUCAAUUGUUUUGUCGCUUUGUAAUUCGGUUUGAAUGUGGAUGUUACUAAAUUAUUUGAUUUAUUUCCAUCGGAGUUCAAGGUGUUGGCAAUGGAUGCUUCGAUUGUAUUUCCGCAUAGAAUUUUGUUGAUGCAAAUUCAAAAUGGACUUAUGGGUGAAACUUGACGAAAGGGAUAUUGCUUUGCUAGGAUUUCAAACCUUUUUUCAGGGGAUCAGAAGCUCUAGAGAUAGGAAAGAGAUAAAGGGCUUUACUUGAAAACCUGUAGGAUGGGGAGGGUUAAGCUCAAGAUAAAGAGAUUGGAGAAUACAAGCAGUAGACAAGUAACCUAUUCAAAAAGGAAGAAUGGAAUCUUGAAGAAAGCUAGGGAAUUAUCCAUAUUAUGUGACAUAGACAUUGCCCUUAUCAUGUUUUCACCAACUGGCAAGCCUACAUUGUGCCUAGGAGAGCACAGUAACUUUGAAGAGGUUAUUGGAAAGUUUGCUCAAUUAACUCCACAGGAAAGGGCAAAAAGGAAAUUGGAGAGCCUCGAAGCACUAAAGAAAACAUUUAAGAAGUUGGAUCAUGAUGUAAACAUACAAGACUUUUUGGGUGCAAGUACUCAAACAGUUGAGGAAUUGACCAACCAUUCAAGGCUAUUGCAAACUCAACUUUCAGAAACGCACAAGAGAUUGAGCUAUUGGACUCAUCCAGAUAAAAUCAACAAUAUAGAACAUCUGAGGGCAAUGGAAGACUCUCUUAAGGAAUCACUUAACCAAAUAAGAGCUCAUAAGUUCCAGAAUGGGAUGCAUCUACCCUUGGGAAUGAGUGUUGAGCAGCCACAAGCACAACCCAUUUCAUGGCUGCCUGGUAAUGACAGUCAACAUAUGAUGUUAGCAGAGGAUCCAAACUUGUUACCUCACAGAGAUCUGGAGUGCUCCACAGAUGCUUCCAUUCCAAGCUAUUCUGGUUUCUUUAGUGCGUGCAAAACAGAAGUUGAUAGUUCGGGUCAAGAAAGUAAUGCCCUGAAUGAAUUAAGCAGAAAUGCAUGCUUGAGGCUACAAUUGGGUGGGCAAUAUCCAUAUCCAUCAUAUGGAUUCAAUUUGCUGGAUGAAAAGAAAUUGAAGACUGAAACAAAGAUGAGUUUACAUGAAAACCCUGUGGAUUUUCAAGUUAAUAGUGGCUUUGAACCAACUAGACCUGGGUAUGACACAAGCCAUCAGAGUUGGGCAUCUACAUCUGGACCUUGUGCCAUUGCUGUGUUUGAUCAGCAAUCAUACCCUCAACAACCAAACUGAAUUCACGAGUGAUUUUAUCAUUAUCAUUCUUUGCUGGGUAGCCACAUCAGCACAAGUCCUUUUGAAUGUGAAAUCAAGUUGAUACGAAUUAACAAAGUUCUGGAUGCUGGGUUGGUAUCUUUGACAAUUAUCAGAGGCAGCCCGCAAGAGACAUGGAAGGUUGCUGAUUCAGUCGUUUGAGCUACUGGAUCUGCAAUACCUAACCGUUUGUAUAGUAUAAACAAUAUAUGGUAAUAGGCUUUUUUAUUACACUUUCCCCUUGACAGUGUUACUAAUGACGGGGAGAAUCUCCUUUAUUCAUUUCUCAGUAAUCUAAGCUGUAAAUUAAACUCUAGUAAUACAAAUUCAAGCUAACAUCUUCA